RNAcentral lists this ribosomal RNA (462 nucleotides) under uncultured Desulfobulbus sp. RNAcentral's name for it is "bacterial SSU rRNA". It matches the Rfam family "Bacterial small subunit ribosomal RNA", at positions 926 to 1382 of the family's 1533-position model. Lineage: Bacteria; Pseudomonadati; Thermodesulfobacteriota; Desulfobulbia; Desulfobulbales; Desulfobulbaceae. The record is from RNAcentral.
CAAGCGGUGGAGUAUGUGGUUUAAUUCGAUGCAACGCGAAGAACCUUACCUGGUCCUGACAUCCCGGAGACCCUUAGGAAACUAGGGGGUGCUUCCAUCUGGAAGAAUCUGGAGACAGGUGCUGCAUGGCUGUCGUCAGCUCGUGUCGUGAGAUGUUGGGUUAAGUCCCGCAACGAGCGCAACCCUUGCCUUUAGUUGCCAGCAGUUCGGCUGGGCACUCUAAAGGGACUGCCGGUGUUAAACCGGAGGAAGGUGGGGAUGACGUCAAGUCCUCAUGGCCUUUAUGACCAGGGCUACACACGUACUACAAUGGCCGAUACAAAGGGCAGCGACACUGCGAGGUGAAGCCAAUCCCGUAAAAUCGGUCUCAGUCCGGAUUGGAGUCUGCAACUCGACUCCAUGAAGUUGGAAUCGCUAGUAAUCGUGGAUCAGCAUGCCACGGUGAAUACGUUCCCGGGCCUU